GAAUUUGUUUACUAAAUAUAUUUCCUAUUGUUUCUGAUUAAACCUAUACGUCACUACCUCUAUAAUAAAACAUCAAAAUAAAGUUGUCAGAAAUAGAUGUGGUUUGAUACCUAUCGUAAUACUUCAGUAUUAAAAAUUGAAAUAUUUUUUAAAAAUUCUUCAUACUUUUCAAUAUACUUUAAAAUUACUAAAACUUUUAAAGUAAAUGUGUUCUACUCUCUACAAAAUAACUUACAGAAAUAU
Molecule: long non-coding RNA, 243 nt
Filed under: Ananas comosus (pineapple)
Lineage: Eukaryota; Viridiplantae; Streptophyta; Magnoliopsida; Poales; Bromeliaceae
Description: long non-coding RNA (ACOM_LNC007001)
Source: RNAcentral